Non-coding RNA from Clostridium sp. CAG:470, 597 nucleotides. The record is from Rfam. Lineage: Bacteria; Bacillati; Bacillota; Clostridia; Eubacteriales; Clostridiaceae.
GUUAUAAUAUUAAUUGAUGGUGCAUUAUUCUAGUCGUACUUAAACUUACGAGGGUGGGGCUAAAAAUCCACUAAAGGGCACAUCGUUGAAGUUUCUUGUUUGUGCGCGAAAUGCCAGUUUUGUGUGUAACCAGGGAGUAAAGGGGUUAGGGUAAUAUAUAAUGGCAUAUAUGUGAUUCCCUAGUUUCGCGGAGGCUUAAAUAGAAAAAUUUAAGUUAAACCUAUGUUGAGUGCCAAGACACAAAAUACAUAGUGUAGCCUGUCUCGAGUGAGUGUAUUGGGAUUAAUUUGACGGGAAUGAAGAUUGUUCGGCCAAAUAAUUUUUAUUCUGGAUUAUGAAAUUAUACUUGCAAAAAAGACUAGUAAGUUUGUAAAAGUAUGUCAAGGAAAACUUCUAGAAUGUUUGCUUUAUCAAAAGCUUGAAAAUCUGGGGAUUAAGGUACGGAUUUAAGUGGCGAUCUGGUGGCUAAAAUAAAUUUAGCUGGUUCCCUUAAACGGAAACGGUUCUAGCAGUAAUGCUAAGCGGGAAGUAGAGAAAUUCAACCAGACCUAAACCGUAAAAUUUACUUAGAUUUUUACCAUCUAUAUUUUAAUUUAG